Molecule: ribosomal RNA, 516 nt
Filed under: Lithoglyptes ivanovi
Lineage: Eukaryota; Metazoa; Arthropoda; Thecostraca; Lithoglyptida; Lithoglyptidae
Description: partial 16S ribosomal RNA
Rfam family: Bacterial large subunit ribosomal RNA
Source: RNAcentral
GCCCAUUGAAUAUUUUUAAAAGGCCGCAGUACCCUGACUGUGCUAAGGUAGCGUAAUCAACUGUCCCCUAAAUAGUGACCUGUAUGAAUGGCUAAACGAAAGAAUGACUUUUUUUAACUUAAAUAAUUAACUUAACCUCUUAGUUAAAAGGCUAAGAUAAUUUAAAAAGACGAGAAGACCCUAAAGAGUUUAACAAACAAAUUUUUUAAGAAUUAUUUUUUUACUCAUAUCUUUUAAUAAAUGUUUGUUUAAUUGGGGUGAUUAAAAAAUAAAUAAAACUUUUCUUUUAACUAACUAAAAUAUUAGAAAUAAAUAAUGAUCCGAUUAUAACGAUUAAAAGAAAAAGUUACCUUAGGGAUAACAGCGUAAUACUUAUUAAGAGUUCACAUUGACAUAAGUGUUUGCGACCUCGAUGUUGGACUAAAAUUACUCUAUAAUGCAGCAGUUAUAUUAGUAGGUCUGUUCGACCUUUAAAUUUUUACACGAUCUGAGUUCAAACCGGCGUGAGCCAGGUUG